This 440-nucleotide ribosomal RNA is filed under the name uncultured bacterium. RNAcentral's name for it is "bacterial SSU rRNA". It matches the Rfam family "Bacterial small subunit ribosomal RNA", at positions 339 to 796 of the family's 1533-position model. The record is from RNAcentral.
CUACGGGAGGCAGCAGUGGGGAAUAUUGGACAAUGGGCGCAAGCCUGAUCCAGCCAUGCCGCGUGAGUGAUGAAGGCCUUAGGGUUGUAAAGCUCUUUCGGCGGGGACGAUAAUGACGGUACCCGCAGAAGAAGCCCCGGCUAACUUCGUGCCAGCAGCCGCGGUAAUACGAAGGGGGCUAGCGUUGUUCGGAAUCACUGGGCGUAAAGCGCAUGCAGGCGGAUCGCUAAGUCGGGGGUGAAAGCCCGAGGCUCAACCUCGGAACUGCCUUUGAUACUGGGGAUCUCGAGUUCGGGAGAGGUGAGUGGAACUGCGAGUGUAGAGGUGAAAUUCGUAGAUAUUCGCAAGAACACCAGUGGCGAAGGCGGCUCACUGGCCCGAUACUGACGCUGAGGUGCGAAAGCGUGGGGAGCAAACAGGAUUAGAAACCCGUGUAGUCC